UCACGAUACAGAACAGUUUUUCAAAAGGACUUAACUGUAAAUGUGUACCUUUAUAUAUUUUUUUUUCAGAUUGAAGCUGAAGCACAACGCUCAAAUCCAGAGUCCUUCAAUCCUUCAUCUUGGGCUCCUGACAAUAGUUUCACAAUACUUAACUCUAACAGUCUAUCACCGUGCUUUCUAAUGAGCUGAAAGAGGCAAUAGCUGAACACAAGCUGCACUGGAAAAGUGAUGGGGAAAAGAGGGCCUACCAUCGGCAGGAGCAUCCAGGCAUCUUGUCUGCAACAUGGGGCAUAUGCUGCCUCAAACCCAGACCUGAACUAUGCUACACCAUAUCAUAUCUUUACAUUAGAUGCAGGGCUAUAUGGAAAGAAGACACCAGGAGAUAAAGGCAAGAGACACUUUCCACCUGCCCUGAAGUUCUGGUUGUUUGGCAAAAAAUAAAAAGCAGACUAAGUAAUGAGUGACUGGUUUGACAGCCUAGCAGUUAGUGUGCCUUGCUAUCCUGAGUCCAACUCUCAAACCCUUGCUUCAGUUUAAAUUCAGGACAGAAUAAUAUGCCAGUCACUUGCACCAACUUGACACAGCGUGCACAAAAUGGAUAUGAUGCUCAUUUGCUGUUUUGGAUUUAGUCUGAAGUGAAAGUGAGCAAUAUCUGAAUUGCAACUGCAAAACACCUGUUCUAGCACUGACUGAAAUUGAUUUAGCAUUAUAUAAAUUAGCAAGGCCUGUAUUACCUUGUAGCCUGGCUACACAGCUCGCACAUAUUGAGAUCUCCUUUCACCUUUGAUUUCAGGGGACCUCUUUGAACGUUACAGUAGAAGGGCCAGGAAAAGAACCAAGCUCC
Molecule: long non-coding RNA, 844 nt
Filed under: Anser brachyrhynchus (Pink-footed goose)
Lineage: Eukaryota; Metazoa; Chordata; Aves; Anseriformes; Anatidae
Description: lncRNA (ENSABRG00000017733.1)
Source: RNAcentral